RNAcentral lists this non-coding RNA (147 nucleotides) under Chromera velia. Lineage: Eukaryota; Chromeraceae. The record is from RNAcentral.
GAAGGACAUCAGAUUGAUAGAUCGUUGAACGCACGAAACACAGUCACAGGGGAAUAGGAGCGAAGACAGUAUGGGAGAGGACAAACAAACAGACACACCCACCUCUUCGGUCUCAAUCAUCAGGGUGAAUCAGCGAUCGAGUUCUCG